CCUACGGGAGGCAGCAGUGGGGAAUUUUGGACAAUGGGCGCAAGCCUGAUCCAGCCAUGCCGCGUGCGGGAAGAAGGCCUUCGGGUUGUAAACCGCUUUUGUCAGGGAAGAAAUCCUUUGAGCUAAUACCUCGGGGGGAUGACGGUACCUGAAGAAUAAGCACCGGCUAACUACGUGCCAGCAGCCGCGGUAAUACGUAGGGUGCGAGCGUUAAUCGGAAUUACUGGGCGUAAAGCGUGCGCAGGCGGUCUUGCAAGACAGGUGUGAAAUCCCCGGGCUUAACCUGGGAACUGCACUUGUGACUGCAAGGCUGGAGUACGGCAGAGGGGGAUGGAAUUCCGCGUGUAGCAGUGAAAUGCGUAGAUAUGCGGAGGAACACCGAUGGCGAAGGCAAUCCCCUGGGCCUGUACUGACGCUCAUGCACGAAAGCGUGGGGAGCAAACAGGAUUAGAUACCCUGGUAGUCCACGCCCUAAACGAUGUCAACUGGUUGUUGGACGGCUUGCUGUUCAGUACGAAGCUAACGCGUGAAGUUGACCGCCUGGGGAGUCGGCCGCAAGGUUGAAACUCAAAGGAUUGACGGCUGAGAGNGCGAGACGACGACGAGGGACGGAGG
This 615-nucleotide ribosomal RNA is filed under the name uncultured bacterium. Its description in RNAcentral is "bacterial SSU rRNA". It matches the Rfam family "Bacterial small subunit ribosomal RNA", at positions 338 to 945 of the family's 1533-position model. The record is from RNAcentral.